AUAGGCAGCCUAAGUCUUGACGUCACAGAGACGGGCGGAGCUUAUACCGACUCCAAACAAUUCCGUUGAUAAUGGUAAAUGCCCAUAAGCAAUUUUUAUUUACUGUUUCCGUGGUUUAUGUGAUAAAAUAAAACUUUUCAGUUGAAUAUAUUGUUAAAGGAAGUACUAUUUAACAGGUUUUCAUUAGUUUUUCCCCAGGUUUUUAAGAUCUAGGACUGCUUCAGAAUGGAUAUAUGCUUUGUUCCAGACUGUAAACAGUUCAAAGCAUUAAUGUAAGUUUUUUCGGUUCCCCAAAAACUAGACCGAGAGGUAUAGAUGGAUUUCUCUCAUAAGGAAGCGAACUGUAAAAAACCUCGUUACCGAGCUACUACCAGGACCUUCAACCGAACCACUAACAGGUCCUUCAAGUGAGCCACUACCAGGACCUUCAACCAAACUACUGCCUAGGGCUUUGGUGAAUAAAGCUCUUCUGCAGAUUUCACUAGCCCAACCUUCGGUUUAGGUAGUGCCUUCCAUGCACAUGCUUUAUCUGUUACAGUUAUAUUGUAAUGCCCAAAAAGUGCCAACGCCGUAAUAUGAUAGCAUUUUAUACCCCUGGGACAAGUGCAGGUGGCUUCUUUAAUGUCACUUCCCCUUUGAUUACCUGCAAAUCAGAGUCAAAGUCCAUUUUCUCCACAUGACUGGACUCUAACUCGUUUUCGCCCCUUUUUAUAAUUUUGUUGUGUCAUCUAUACAGGCACGGAUGCUGGGAAGUUUUAGGACAUGUUUAAAAGCCAUUAUUUUUUUAACAACAGAAGGAUCUGCAAAAAAACAAACAAAAAGGUACUGCAAAAAUAAAAUAGACAUAACCUCAACAAGUUUUAAACCAGAAUUAAUAUGUUGAAUUAACUCACCUGAGGAAAAACUAAUAAAAGCCUCUUAAAUAGUACGUUCCUUCAACAAUAUACUCAACUGAAAAGUCUUAUUUCAUCACAUAAACCACGAAAACACCUAAUGAAAAAUUGCUUAUGGGCAUUUACCAUUAUCAACUAAAUAUUUUGGAGUCAGUAUAAGCUCCGCCCGUCUCUGUGACGUCAGACUUAGGCUGUCUAUUGAAACUUGCAUAUGAAAAUUAUUUUAAAAAAGAAUCAAAACCGAGAGGUUUCAAUUAUGUAGAGGACUUUAUUAAAAGGAUUUUUUGAAACAAAUAAAAACAUCAAUCUAAGAUAUACCAUAAUGUUUACUACAAAAGACUGUGUUAUUCCCAGUUAAUUUUUCCACCCUAUCUAUUUUGAAAAGAAUAUUUUCCAUAAGGAAACGUGUUUAAGUUCAAUAUAUUUCUCUAACCGAUGUACCUAAGGUUACAAAACCAGAGAGUGUCCAAUUAAAUAUUUUUAGACAUUUAUUAAUGAAAAAAAAACAGAAAUAUUAGUGGCUUGUUAACAUUGUUAAUUUUAGUCAAGUGAUUUUGAAUCUUUGACCAACUAUAGCGAAGUGUUUUAUAUAAACAAUGAUAGAGUAAGAUACUGGCUAUGUUUCUCUUUUAGAAAAGUAGUAUUUACAAUAUUUUCAUUACUUAUAAAGACAAUAAACCAAAAUAAAAUCAAACCGAAUGUGUGAAAUUUUUUACUAAAGUUUCUAAUAAUUUUUGUUAAGUCUUGAAUAUUUAUUUAGCAAGCGCAUCACAUUUUUUUAUAGUAGCCUCAAUUAGCGAGGUCUAUAAAAUUUAAGUAAUUGACGAAAAAAAUUGUAGUCACUUGUAGACAAAAUCCCAUUAAAAAUUAACAGCAAUAUAGAUUUGGAAGAUCUCCUUGCACUUGUUGGUAGAGGAAUAGGGUACUUGCAUGGUUUGAGAAAAAAAUAGUUUUGGAUAAUUUAUGUACUUUAUAAUAUUAUAAUGUUGUUCUUUAAUCUCAGAUCAAUAUUUAUAAAAAAACACUAAUGAAAAUUAAAAAAAGGUAGUUCAUACAUUUUAGUAAGGUCGCCAUAUUGCGUGACAUUAUAGGUAUAAAAUAAAGACUGAACAUAUGAUACAAAAUAAAUACGAUAGUUAUUUUGUCGGUUAUUCCAAAAUAAGCGUUAUUAUUAAACUUUGAGUAAUCUGAAAAAUGGUAUGUCGUUUUGACGAUUCUGCGAGAUGUAAAUAUUUUUGUUGCCACGAUCAUUUUAUUAUAACUAAGAUUCAAAUUUAACUUAUAAUAUUUCAUUGUAAUUUAGUUUACUAUGUUUUUAAUUUUUAACGUGAUUAUGUACUAACACUGGUCGACAAAAAAAAAUUUUUGUAGUAACACUAGAAUGACUAGUAUAUUGUGAUAAAAUGGACCUAUACAAAUACGAAAAUAUGAAACAAAUAAUUGUAACACGACCUUGAUACUGAAUUUCCAUUGUUCUUGAUGGAACCUUUCACUCUGCUCAUCAUUGACAGCUCCCAAAUUUUCGGGAAAAAAUGUCAAAUGGAAAUGAAGCAGUUUGUAGGAGUCUAGAAGUUCAUCAAUAAACUGUUGGUAGUUUGGAUCCAUAUUGUUGCCCAAAAAUCCCCUCACUACACUAACAAAUGCCUUCCAUGUUCUAAGCUACCGUCUGAUGAGCUUUUUUGCAAAAUUGUCAUCGUCCAGCAAUUUUCCUAUAUGUAGCCCAAUAAAAAUACAUUCCUUUUAUUUGGCAUCAUUUAACUGGGGAAAGACUUCUCUAAGGUAUUUGAAUCCAUCACCCUCUUUAUCCAUAGCCUUUACAAAGUUUUUCAUCAAUCCAAUUUUAAUGUGAAGGGAGGGCAGAAGGUCAUUUUUGGGAUCUACAAGAGGUAUAAACACUCACAUAGUGUUGAUCUACUGCCCUACCUUGUAAACCCUUCCUGAAGUCCCAUUAAAAUUCCAAUCACCUUCAGGUCCCCACAUAUCUGCCACUUAUACUUGUUGUAGUUAAUUUUGUCUAAAAGCAAGGGAAUUUUUUUACCAAAUAAUAAAACUAUAUAGCAAUCCUAAAAUAUGUAAUAAUUUGUAUCAAAAAUCAAUACCAACAUUAAACCCGUAUGUAAUAUGCUUCUAAUCAAAUUUUAUAGUAUUAGAGUAUAAGUGGUUUAUAGCGUAGAAAGCGCUUUCCAGUAAAUAUGCUUUCAAAUUCUUGCGAAAUGCUGGAAAAGAUUUUAUAAAUUUAAUUUUAAUUGGCAAAUGAUUGUACAUUUUUUUUUUGGAUUGCACAGUAUUGAGUAGAGUAGGUAGAUAAAGGACGUGGUUUUUGAGAUUUUUUUACAUUUUUCGUCCUAUAUCUAUUCACACUCUGAAAGUGUUAUGGUGAUAUUAUUCUUCAUAUUCGCUAAUAAGUUUUUCAAAUAUCUUUUUAACUUUGCUUUUUUUAUUUUAGUGCUCACGAAAAAUCCAGUUGUCUGUAUUAAUUUCAUUUUGUUUCAGCAAAACUUGUAAAUAAUUUUCAUGUGAAUUCAUAUUUUCUAUUUAUUAGGGAACAGAAUAGAAGAGAUUUCUCAAAACACUUAUAUGCUUUUAUAAAAUGUUUAGAAAGUUGAAUAAAGAGUGUUUUUGUUUUGGUAUUAAA
Molecule: long non-coding RNA, 3528 nt
Organism: Diorhabda carinulata
Lineage: Eukaryota; Metazoa; Arthropoda; Insecta; Coleoptera; Chrysomelidae
Exons: 3
Source: RefSeq, a predicted model, not a curated record